GCUCAGGAUGAACGCUGGCGGCGUGCUUAACACAUGCAAGUCGAACGAAGCACUAUUAUUUGAUUUCUUCGGAAUGAAGAUUUUAGUGACUGAGUGGCGGACGGGUGAGUAACGCGUGGGUAACCUGCCUCAUACAGGGGGAUAACAGUUAGAAAUGACUGCUAAUACCGCAUAAGACCACAGUACCGCAUGGUACAGGGGUAAAAACUCCGGUGGUAUGAGAUGGACCCGCGUCUGAUUAGGUAGUUGGUGGGGUAACGGCCUACCAAGCCGACGAUCAGUAGCCGACCUGAGAGGGUGACCGGCCACAUUGGGACUGAGACACGGCCCAAACUCCUACGGGAGGCAGCAGUA
This 354-nucleotide ribosomal RNA is filed under the name uncultured bacterium. RNAcentral's name for it is "bacterial SSU rRNA". It matches the Rfam family "Bacterial small subunit ribosomal RNA", at positions 22 to 356 of the family's 1533-position model. The record is from RNAcentral.